RNAcentral lists this ribosomal RNA (172 nucleotides) under Aphareus rutilans (rusty jobfish). Its description in RNAcentral is "partial 12S ribosomal RNA". The record is from RNAcentral. Lineage: Eukaryota; Metazoa; Chordata; Actinopteri; Lutjaniformes; Lutjanidae.
CACCGCGGUUAUACGAGAGACCCCAGUUGUUAAACGCCGGCGUAAAGAGUGGUUAAGGAGGACUUCAGAAUAAAGCCGAACGCUUUCAGAGCUGUUAUACGUAUCCGAAAGUAAGAAGUUCAACCACGAAGGUGGCUUUACAAUAUAGCCUGACCCCACGAAAGCUAUGACA